GACGAACGCUGGCGGCGUGCUUAACACAUGCAAGUGGAGCGACGAACCAGGCUUCGGCCUGGGGCAGAGCCGCGAACGGGUGAGUAACACGUGGGUAACCUGCCCUGAUGAUUGGGACAACCCGAGGAAACUCGGGCUAAUACCAAAUGUGCCCUCCGGCCGUAAGGCCUCUGGGGAAGGGAAGCUUCGGCCUCCGCAUCGGGAUGGGCCCGCGGCCCAUUGGCUUGUUGGUGAGGUAACGGCNCACCAAGGCUACGAUGGGUAGCUGGUCUGAGAGGACGAUCAGCCACACUGGGACUGAGACACGGCCCAGACUCCUACGGGAGGCAGCAGUGGGGAAUCUUGCGCAAUGCGCGAAAGCGUGACGCAGCAACGCCGCGUGGGGGAAGAAGGCCUCGGUU
RNAcentral lists this ribosomal RNA (401 nucleotides) under uncultured bacterium. Its description in RNAcentral is "bacterial SSU rRNA". It matches the Rfam family "Bacterial small subunit ribosomal RNA", at positions 28 to 424 of the family's 1533-position model. The record is from RNAcentral.